GACGAACGCUGGCGGCGUGCUUAACACAUGCAAGUCGAACGGAAAGGCCCUGCAUUUGUGGGGUGCUCGAGUGGCGAACGGGUGAGUAACACGUGAGUAACCUGCCCUUGACUUUGGGAUAACUUCAGGAAACUGGGGCUAAUACCGGAUAGGAGCUCCUGCUGCAUGGUGGGGGUUGGAAAGUUUCGGCGGUUGGGGAUGGACUCGAGGCUUAUCAGCUUGUUGGUGGGGUAGUGGCUUACCAAGGCUUUGACGGGUAGCCGGCCUGAGAGGGUGACCGGCCACAUUGGGACUGAGAUACGGCCCAGACUCCUACGGGAGGCAGCAGUGGGGAAUAUUGCACAAUGGGCGGAAGCCUGAUGCAGCAACGCCGCGUGCGGGAUGACGGCCUUCGGGUUGUAAACCGCUUUCGCCUGUGACGAAGCGUGAGUGACGGUAAUGGGUAAAGAAGCACCGGCUAACUACGUG
RNAcentral lists this ribosomal RNA (468 nucleotides) under uncultured bacterium. Its description in RNAcentral is "partial 16S ribosomal RNA". It matches the Rfam family "Bacterial small subunit ribosomal RNA", at positions 28 to 507 of the family's 1533-position model. The record is from RNAcentral.